UACAAAAAAUUAGCCAGGCGUGGUGGCGGGCGCCUGUAGUCCCAGCUACUCGGGAGGCUGAGGCAGGAUAAUGGCGUGAACCCAGGAGGCAGGGCUUGCAGUGAGCCGAGAUCGUGCCACUGCACUCCAGCCUGGGCGACAGAGCGAGACUCCGUCUCAAAAAAAAAAAAAAAAAAAAAAGAAAUGGAGUAUCAUGGACUAGGAUAGUAGCAGUAGAGAUGAGGGAAGUGGAUGGAUCCAAAAAGCUGACCUAUCUUGCUUACCAAUUAAAUGAGGAAAGGGAGGAAUCAAUAGUGAUGCCUAGGUUUGGGGCAUGUUGUCUAGGUGGAAUUAAUUUUAAUUACACUUUUAACCCCUAGCAUAUCCAAAUAUUAUUUCACAUGUGAUCAACAUAAAAAAUUACUAAAUAUUAAAAAUAUUUUACAUUAUCUUUCUCAUAACUAAGCAUUUGAAAUCUGGUGUGUAUUUUAUACUUAUAGCAUAUCUCAGUACUUGAUUUCAUAAAAUUUCCAGCUGAAAAAAUAGAUUCACGUACCCAAGUCGUUCCAAGCAUACUUAAAAGUUUUACGGUAAUCGAAUCGUGUAUAUUUUUAAAUUUUAUUUUAAAUUAAAGUUAGGAUUAUGAAUUCAGUUCCUAAAUUAGCCUCAUUUCACUUCUGCAUUUCAAGUGGGACAAGUUAUUACCAUAUUGGACAAUGCAGUCUAGUGAAGUAGAGGAUAGUGGAAAGUCAGACUUAAAAAGUUGUUUAGAACCAGCUCUGGAAGGCCUUGGAUGUCAGAUUAAAGGACUGAGAUUUUACCCUUGAGUCAGGCAGAAUAAUGGAUGGUUUUUGAACUAAGGAGUGACACAAGGUUGUGCUUAUGACUAGAAGGAGGCCACUAGGUGGCCAGCUGGUGAGUCAGGACACCCUUCAGUUGCUUUGACUUCAGCCCUGUGGAUUCAAAGUCUGAUUUUUGUCAGCGCUCUAGAGCAGUCUCACCAAAAGUGUGGUCCACAAGGCAGUGCCAGUCUGUAAGCCCUUUGUUACACAUCCAUGUCAAGGCAUUUACAGAAAGUAAGAAUUUAGAAACUUAUAGCAGUUUAACAGACUAAUUUUAUUUCUGUGGGUCUAAUAAAAAUUUGAGGGAUUGUACUUUGCAUAUUCUUUAUUUCCCUUUUUUUGUUUGUUUUUUGUGUUCGAGAUGGGAGUCUUUUUCUGUCGCCAGGCUGGAGUGCAGUGGUGCAGUCUCGGCUCACUGCAACCUCUGCCUCCUGGGUUCAAGCGAUUCUCCUGCCUCAGCCUCCCAAAUAGCUGGGAUUACAGGUGUGCACCACCACAUCCAGCUAAUUUUUGUAUUUUCAGUAGAGACGGGGUUUCACCAUGUUGGCCAGGAUGGUCUUCAUUGCCUGACCUUGUGAUCCGCCUGCCUCAGCCUCCCAAAGUGCUGGGAUUACAGGCGUAAGCCACCGUGCCCGGCCCUUUUUUCCUUUUUAGUUUAUUUUUUUCUUUUUUGAGACAGAGUUUCGCUCUUAUUGCCCAGGCUGGAGUGCAAUGGUGCGAUCUUGGCUCACCGCAACCUCUGCCUCCUGAGUUGAAGCGAUACUCCUACCUCAGCCUCCCAAGUAGCUGGGAUUACAAGCAUGCACCACCAUACCCUGCUAAUUUUGUAUUUUUAGUAGAGACGGGUUUCUCCAUGUUGGUCAGGCUGGUCUCGAACUCCCAACCUCAGGUGAUCUACCUGCCUUGGCCUCCCAAAGCGCUGGGAUUACAGGUGUGAGCCACUGCACCCGGCCGUUUUUUUCUUUUUCUAAUAAUUUUUAUCAUAUUACAUAAAAGUACCUAUGGUCUCACAGAUGAAGGGAGUCAGAAGAACCAAACUCCCAGAAGACAUAUAAAUCUAAAUGCCUUUUUUACUUUAGAGUGAAAACUGUAAUAGCUAAAUUAUAAUGGACAUCUGCUCAUUUUCUCCCUCCAUGUAGACAUGGAAAGCUACACGGAAAUAACCGAGUUUAUAGUAGCUACCAUAUAUUAAACGUUUCCUGUAUGCCAGCCACUGUGCAAAGCAUAUUAUAUAUAUUGUCUCAUUUAAUCCUCACAACUCUGUAAAAUAAGUAUUGUUUGCCCCAUUUUUCCAAUGAAGAAACCGAGGCUAAAAUAGGUUGAAUAACUUACCUAAAUUCACCAUCCUCAAAGGUGUUAAAGACAGGAUUCCAGUACAGGUCUCUCAUUUCCUUCAUGAUUAGGAAUACUACUUUGAAAUGAGAGACCUGUACUGUAUCUGUUAAUUCCAAAUUCCCUGGCAUAAAGACUCAGUACAUUGUUUAAAGAGAAUGCAUGAAGUUAACUGCAUUACCUUUUGGAGGGUUCAUUUGUGAAUUUGGGGCCAAAGUAAGGGGAGUUACUGGUAUUCUAAUAGCAUCAAACAAAUGAAUUCAUUUCAUCUUUUGGGGAGGUGGAGGGAAUAAGGUCUCACCUUGUCGCCCAUGCAGGCUGGAAGGCCGUGAUGUGAUCUCAGCUCACUGCAGCCUCAACCUGGGCUCAAGCGAUCCUCCCACCUCAGCCUCCUGAGUAGCUGGGACUACAGGUGCACACCACCACGCCCAGCUCAUUUUUGUAUGUUUUGUAGAGACUGUGUUUUGCCACGUUGCCCAGGCUAUUCUCAAACUCCUGAGCUCAAGUGAUCCUCCCACCUCAGCCUCCCAAAGUGCUGGGAUUACAGAUGUAAUCCACCACACCCAGCCAAAUGCAUUCAUGUCUACAAUAGAAAUACAUCUCUUUGCUGCUAUCUUGAAUUUGUAGACUCCCACAAAUCAAUAAAAAAGAAGACAUCCAAUAAAAAAAUGGGUAGAGGCCAGGCAGUGGCUAACACCUGUAAUCCAAGCACUUUAGGAGGCCCAGGCAGGCAGAUCACUUGAGGUCAGAAGUUCAAGACCAGCCUGGCCAACAUGACAAAACCCUGUCUCUACUAAAAAUAUAAAAAUUAGCCAGACGUAGUGGCACGUACCUGUAAUCACAACUACUCGGGAGGCUGAGACAGGAGAAUUGCUUGAACCCAGGAGGCAGAAGUUGCAGUGAGCCAAGAUCGUGCCACUGCACUCCAGCCUGGGCGACAAAGCAAGACUCCAUCUCAAAAAAAAAAAAAAAAAAAAAGGUAGAAACUUAAACAGUCACCUCACAAAAAAGGGUAUCUAAAUAUUAGUUUCUUAAAAAAUAUAAAAGGGGCGUGUAGAUGGCCGAUAAACAUGUAAAAGAUACUCAACUAAUUUAAUCAUUAGAGAAAUGCAAAUUAAAACCUAAAUGAUAUUUUAAUCUCACAUCCAACAGAAUGGCUAAAAUGGAAAACCCAGAAAAUGCCAGAUGUUGGUCAAGAGUUGGAGUAACUGAAACUACACAGCUGCUGGAAAUGUAUAUUGGUAUAACCACUUUGGAAAAUGGGAAGUUCAACAAACAGGCAAACCAAUCUAGAUUUAGGGAUAUAUGUUUAGGUAGUAAAAGUAUAAAGAAAAGAAAUAGUUAGCUUUGCAGGGAGUAGUGCUUGGGAGGUAAUAGGUGCUUCUGGAGUGCUGUUGAUGUUCUGUUCCUAAGUAGGGUGCUAUGGCUUGAGUUUGGUUUGUCUGACCCUACCAAGUCUCAUGUUAAAAUUUCAUCCCCAGUGUUGGAGGUGAGGCCUGGUGGGAAGGGUUGUGGGAGUGGAUUUCUCAUGAGUGGCUUCGUAUUCUGUAAGGAGUGAGUUCAUUAAGAGACUGGCACCUCCUCUCUCCUUUCUCUCGCCAUGUGAUCUCUGCAUAUGUCAUCUCCUGUCUGCCUUCCACCGUGAGCAGCCUGAAGCCCUCACUGGAAGCAGAUACUGCUACCAUGCUUCUUGUACAGCCUGCAAAACCGUGAGCCAAAUAAGCCGAACAUUCUAAGACACUGGGAUUACAUGAGUGUUAGCACUCUAUGACUUAAUGAGAAGUAGGUUUUUUGGAGAAAAAUGUACUUUCAGUAUGUAUAUUAUAUAUUUCAUGGUUAUUUUUAAAACUCGUGAGCAAUGCUGGAUACACACUACCAACUAUUACUUCCCUGACUGAGCCAAUUUUUCUGUAAAUGCAUCACAAAUGUGAAAGAUAAGGUAGGCCUGAAUUCUGGGGAAUGACAAUGGUGAAGGAAAGGCGAGACAGGUGCAAAAGACACUGCAGAACUCAGGCUCAAAAUCUCAUCCUUAACUCCUUCCCUCAUCCCACCAUGUUGAAUCAGAUGUCAAUAGCAAUUUUAUAUGGCAUUUUUUAAGCUUGCAAAAAGUUAUAAACAGAAAAUGUUCAUUUUAUCACUCCAUCACAGACGAAAAACAUGAAAUUAAGCUAGGAAACAUGUUCAGGUGAUUAGAGUAGAUAGAACAUAGACUAAAAACCAGUGAACUUAUAAAAAAAAAUCCCAUGAUGUGGACAAAAAAAAAGAACUUGUGGCUCCUCACUCCAACUCCUGUGACUCUCUCACCUUACCCCCACUGCCUUCAAGUUUUUUGUAGAAAGAGAAAUUUUGUAUGGAUUGAGUUUAAGAUGAUGCCAGAAUAUCAAGGUAGAAUUAUUAAACACACAAAAGCUAAGGUUUGGUACUCUGAAAAAAGGUCAGAAUUGGUGAUAGAAAAUUAGAAGUUACCCAUCCAUAGAAGGGUAAUAAAGCCAUGAGAGUGAAGGAAACCAGUGAGAGAGAAUAUUGAGAAAAGUACUGAAGGACAGAGAAGGAGAAGCGAAGGAGGAAAGCAAAUCAGCAUUUAUUGAGCAUCUGUUAAACUGUAUGGCAGCUGCUCUACAUUUACUAUCUCAUUUAUUCCUUUCCAUUUCCAAGGUAGCCAAUUUUAGCCUCACUUGAUAGACUGGCUUUGUAGACUCAAAAAGCAGUAAAAAGAACCAGCAUUCAAAACCAGCUUGACUCCAGUUUAUUCUGUGUACUACACCAUUCCUGGAGAGGCUAAGUGUGUGUUACAGAAGACCAUGGGGAGAAUUUAGCUCAAGUAAAGAUAAGCCCUGGGAAAAGACCAUUGGAUUUUUGUGUUUUUUGACUAAGGGGUUCCCAUAACAUAGCAGCACCUGCACUCCUGUCUUAACGCGUCUGUGAAUGUGGGUAAUCCAGACAAAUGUAAACGCCUGUCAAUAAGGGGGGAAAAAGUCAAGAUAGUAAAUGUAAAAAUUAGUAUAAUGAAAACAAACCAGUUAUUAAAUUCUAUCUAGAUACUCUUGCCAACCAAGCACUUCGAAUCUCAAGGCUUGAAUGAAGAAUAGCUUUUUUUUUCUCUGAGACACGGUCUUACUCUGUUGCCCAAGCUGGCGUGCAGUGGCAAGAUCUCAGCUCACUGCAGCCUGGAUUUCCCAUGCUCAGGUGAUUCUCCCACCUCAGCCUCCUUAGCAGCUAGAACUACAAGCGCAGCCACCAUGCCUGGCUAAUUCUGUGUAUUUCUGGUAGAGAUGGGGUUUUGCCAUGUUGCCCAGGCUAGUCUUGAACUCCUGAGCUCAAGCGAGACACCCACCUUGACCUCCCAAAGUGUUGGGAUUACAGACAUUAGCCACCACGCCUGGCCUGUAAACAGGAAUAACUUUCUUGCUGUGUGAUUCAAUGUUAUUUACUGCUUUGUUCAUGUACUGCCUAUGUUGAUUAUCACCAGUGGUAUGGAUCCUGCACAUUGGGAAACACUGCAGUGUUAUUUAAUUUUGUUCACUGUGUUUACAGUGCAGUUUUAGUCACCUGAAAUUCUAAGAGAAAAGAUCAAUAUGGUUUUGCCAAUCAAAGGUCAUUAAUACUUGGAAUGAAAGAUAACUUAUCCUGGUGAUGAACACAUGCCUUUUGAAAAGCAUCAGUAUCUCCUUAAAAUGUAUAAACUACUGUAAUCAAUGAGGAAGACUUUUUCUUAUCAGAUUUAUUAAACUCAUUUACCAUACAAAUAGCAUUAUAACAUUAAAGAAAAUUUUUUAAAAAUUCUGUACCAUAAAACAAUUACUGGUUCCUUCCUACCUGUUUUUAGGUUUGCAGAUGAAUAAUGUGUGGAUUUUUGGCAGACACACUGCUGAAAAUUUUUCACUUUGUUGGGUGAGCAUCUCACCCUAUCUCCAUUUGUCUCCCUGCUCGUGAGUUCUAGAGAAGACCACCAGUAAGCAAGUGAAAUUCUUUGGCCAAGUCACUGAUAUCAGAAUUCCCCAGAGGCACCAAGAACUUUGAUUUCCAGAAAUUGUUUAGGCACAGCCACUCAUUCAACCUUAUAUUUUGUAUCUCAGAGUUAAGGUUGCAUUUGGGCUACCUAGCCUGUAGACUCUAUUUUAAGACAAGCAGGCAUUUAAUAGUUGUUGGUUGGUUGAUUAGAGCUUCUAGCCAAUUUUUAAAAAUUAUUUGAAUAGAUAAGGCAUUCACUGGUUCAAAAAAAAUUUUUUAAUCAUCACUUCCACCCAUCCAGUUAUCACUACUGAAGUAACCUCUACUUUUUGUUUCUUGCAUAUUCUUUCUUUCUUUUUUUUUUUUUUUUUUUUUUUUGAGACAUAGUCUCGAUCUGUCGCCCAGGCUGGGGUGCAGUGGCGUGAUAUUGGGUCACUGCAACCUCCGUCUCCCGAGUUCAAGCAAUUCUCCUGCCUCAGCCUCCCAUGUAGCUGGGACUACAGGCGCGUGCUACCACGCCCGGCUAAUUUUUAUAUUUUUAGUAGAGACGGGGUUUCACCAUGUUGGCCAGGCUGGUCUUGAACUCCUGACCUCAGGUGAUCGCUUGCCUCGGCCUCCCAAAGUGGAGUUACAGGCAUGAAUCACAGUGCCCAGCCUCUUGUAUAUUUUUCCACAUACACAUUUUUUCAUACAUACAUAUGUGAGAAUAAAUGUUCUUAUUCCCCCUCCCCCAUUUUUAUGUAGGAGAAAAUACCGUACAAACCCUUCUGCACAUUGGACUUGAGAUGGCUUUUCCAUCUCAGUGCAAAAAGGCGACAUUUUUUCUUAACCACUGCACAUUAUUUGGUUAUCACCCAGUUUAGGGACAUUGAGUUUCUUUUGUACUCUAGUGCUUGAAUGAUUAUCCUUGGAUGUACAUCUUUCCUUGUAUAUUUAAAUAUGUCUCAUCUCAGUUUCCACAGGUGGAAUUGCUCUGCAAAAAGGCAUAUAUGUAUUUUUAAUUUGCCCUCUAUGUACUAAAUGUUUUCACCCCAGCAUUGCUGAUGGAUUAGAGUGCUGCCAAGUUUUUGGAUUUUUACCUACCAGCUUUUGAAGGGCAGAUUAUUUCAAGUCUUAAUUAAUAUUUUCAGGAACAGUAACAAUAUCAUUUGGUUAAAUUGAGAGAAAUGGGGUUCAGUUGACAGAAUUUGUUCAGGAUAUAGAAUUUUUCUGCUGCUGCUCCUGCAGCUACACACCUACAACUAGUAAAAACAUGGUUGCUUAGGUUGUCAAAUGACCAGCAAACCUGGAGAGGAACCUGGAAUGACUAUAAACAGCUCCACCCACACUUUUUUUGGGCAAAUGUGCAAGCUUAGUAGAAUCUAAAAGGAUACUUCAGCCUUUGUUUGAGUUGCAGAAAAUUAACAUGGUAAGGAGGAAAAAAUCACUAAUUUUUUUAAAAAGUUCCCUGAUACAGGAACUGAAAAUGAUUUUUGACCAACCUGGGCAAUAGAGCAAAAUCCCAUCUCUACAAAAAAAUACAAAAAUUAGUCGGGCAUGGUGGUGCUGCCUGUAGUGACGGCUACUCAUCCUGAGGUGGGAAGAUUGCUUGAGGCCAGGAGGUUGAGGCUGCAGUGAGCCAGGAUCACACCACUGCACCAGCCUGGGCUACAGAGUAAGACUCAAGAAAAAAAAAAGAUGUUUAAUUAAUCUUGCUUCAGUGCUGAGGUGGUACAGGGAGGGAGAAAGGGAUAUUGGGCUAUGAAUUCCAUCUAAACUGGGGAUUUUUAUCAGGGUGUGAAGAAAGAUUUUCAGGAAUAAUUAUCUGAGUUACUUGGAGUAAAAGUAGCAGGAGGAGGAAAAGAGAUAUGGCCUGUGGGUCUCUGACUUGCCAAACUUCUUAUUCAUUUUACAAAUCAUGAUUUCUAGAGCAUCUUAAUCUUUGAGGCCCAGCUGCUUGGAAGUUGCAUAAUCUCUAUACUUCAGUUCCCCCCUAUAAAAUGGGGAAUAUGAUAGAAUCUACCUUGUAUUUGAGAGGACUAAAUAAAUAUAAAGUGCUUAGAAAAGUAAGGACUCAACUACUAGUAAUAAUUAUUUUGACAUGUUUAAGUAAUCAGUACUAUCUGGAAAACUGUGCUAAUAGUGCCUGAUCUACACAAAUUUAAGUGACUAUACCCCUUUUUUGAGUCAGAGUCUCACUACGUUACCCAGGCUGGAGUACAGUGGUACGAUCUCUGCUCAGUGCAGCCUCCGCCUCCUGGGUUCAAGAGAUUCUCCAGCCUCAGCCUCCCAAGUAGCUGGGAUUACAGGCGCCUACCACCACACCUGGCUAAUUUUUGUAUUUUUAGUAGAGAUGGGGUUUUACCAUGUUGGCCAGGCUGGCCUCAAACUCUGGACUUCAAGUGAUCACCUGCCUCAGCCUUCUAAGGUGCUAGGAUUAUAGGCUUGAGCCACUGCAGCCACCACUCUGUAUAUCUCUUUUGAAAGUCAUAAGCAAUAUCUUUGGAAAAAACACUUAAGGUUAUUUAUUUAGAGGUAGUGUCUCUCUGUACCCCAGCUGGAGUACAGUGGCACAGUAUCACAGCUUGCUGCAGCAUCAAAUUCCUAGGCUCAAGCCAUCCUUCCACCGGACAUGUUGGCGUGCACCUCCUGAGUAGCUGGGACUACAGUUGUGCUCUACCACACCGGGCUAAUUUUUGUAUUUUUUAGUAGAGACAGGGUUUUGCCAUGUUAGACAGGCUGGUCUGGAACACCUGACCUCCGGUGAUCUGCCCACCUCAGUCUCCCAAAGGGCUGGGAUUAAAGGCAUGAGCCACCGCACUCAGCCACUUAAGGCUUUUAAAAAAUCAAUUAAUUUCUAAAUGGUUUUGGACUUUUGACUCCUUAUAAGUGUUAAGAUAUUUUGGUAUCACUUUUUUCCUUCCAAAAAAAAAAAAAAAACCAACUAGGUGAUAUCUAUUCCUCAGUCAAAGUUAAUUAAAACUAUUUUGGAUCCCAGCACUUUGGGAAGCCAAAGGCAGGCAGAUCACCUGAGGUCAGGAGUUCAAGACCAGCCUUGCCAACAUGGUGAAACCCUGUCUCUACUAAAAAUACAAAAAUUAGCAGAGCAUGGUGGCAGGCGCCUGUAAUCCCAGCUACUCAGGAGGCUGAGGCAGGAGAAUUGCUUGAACCCGGGAGGCGGAGUUUGCAGUGAGCCAAGAUAGUGCCAUCGCACUCCAGCCUGGACAACAGAGCGAGACUCCAUCUAAAAAAAAAAAAAAAAAAAAAAAAAACUCAGUUUUUGGUUUUGAAAAUGUCAUGAUACCUGUUGAGAUAACUGCUGAAUAGAUGGGUAAUACACAGUCUAGGGCAUGGUAUCAAAAGAACUUGUCACUGUACAUAUCGGAAAUGGUAAAAAUAUGUUUUGCCGUUUUCACGAAUUCAUUCAUUUUUCAUGUUUCAUGAAUUCAUUCUUUUUAAAAAAAAAAAAUCCUGCUAAUUCUCUGUUUCUCUUGCUUUUCUCCUUUAUGACUAAGUUUUCCUCAUUAUGGGUUACCCCACAUUACUGCUUACGAAGACAUCUCUUUAGUCAGAAAACAGUAGCUUGGUUCAGUUCUAGCUUCAUUGUUAAGCUCAUAGGUAAAUCUGGCAAAUGGCUAGAAACAGUCACAUGUUUGCUUGUCCUUAAUGCUCUCACCUUUUCCCAGCUAUUUGGAUGUAUAUACUUUUGCUUACUUUGUAGUGUACCAACUUAAUAUAUGUUAUAGACUAAAUGUUUAUGUCCUCCCAAACUUCAUAUUUUGGAAGCCAGACAUGGUAACUCACACCUGUAAACCUAACACUUUGGGAGGCCUAGGUGGGAGGAUUGCUUGAGUCCGGGAGUUCAGAACCAGCCUGGACAACAUAGUGAGACCCCGUCUCUACAAAAAAAAAAAAAAUUUUUAAUUAGCCAGGUGUGGUGGCAUACACCUGUAGUCCCAGCUACUCAGGAGGCUUGCCUGAGCCCAGAAGUUUGAGACUGCAGUGAGCCAUGAUAUUGCCAGCCUGGGUGACAGAGCAAGACCUUGUCUCAAGAAAAAAAAAAAAAAUUGCCAAUUGCGAUGGCUCACGCCUGUAAUCCCAGCACUAGGAGGCCGAGGUGGGUGAAUCACCUGAGGUCAGGAGUUUUGAGACCAGCCUGGCCAACGUGGCAAAACCCCGUCUCUACUAAAAAUGCAAAAAUUACCGGGACGUGUUGGUGAGCACCUGUAAUCCCUGCUACUCGGGAGGCUGAGGCAAGAGAAUCUCUUGAACCCAGGGGGUGGAGGUUGCACUGAGCCGAGAUCAUGCCAUUGUACUUCACCUGGGCAACAAGAGGGAAACUGUCUCCAAAAAAAAAAAAUUUGGAGGGCUGGGCACGGUGGCUCACACCUGUAAUCCCAGCACUUUGGGAGGCCAAGGCGGUGGAUCACAAAGUCAGGAGUUCAAGACCAGCCUGGCCAACAUAGUGAAACCCUGUCUCUACUAAAAAUACAAAAAUUAGCCAGGCAUGGUGGCACACGCCUGUAGUCCCAGCUACUGGGGAGGCUGAGGCAGGAGAAUUGCUUUGAACCCGGGAGGCAGAGGUUGUGAGCUGAGAUCGCGUCAGUACACUCCAGCCUGGGCAACAAUGCGAGAUUGCAUCUCAAAAAAAUAAAUAAAUAUUUGGAGUCCCAUAAUAAAUAAAUAUUUGGAGUCCAAUGUGAUAGUAUCUGGAGAUGGGGCCUUUGGAGGUAAUAUGGGUUAGAUAGGUCAUGACGGUAGGGCCCUCAUUAUGGGAUUAGUGGCGUUAUAAGAAGAAGAGAGAAAUCUUCCUCCUCAAGAGCAGAGGAAAAGCCAUAUAAGAAUACAGUGAGACGGCCACUUCCAAACCAGAAAGGGAGCCCCCACCAGGAACCAAAUUGGCUGGCACCUUGAUCUUGGACUUCCCAUGCUCCAGAACUGUGAGAAAUAAAUUUCUAUUAUUUAAGCCCAUGGUAGUUUUAUGGCAUCCUAAGCUAAGACAGCGCGUCUCUAGUUUCCCACAGAUUCAUAAAGGUCCAUACAAAAAUGUUAUAACUGUUAAUAGUGUCCUGUCCUUGAAUUUAACAGCAACCAACAUAUUGUUUGCAUAGUUCUUGCACCAUUUGGAAACAGUGACCUUUAGGUGUUGCAGGUAACUAUUGGGAAAUCCUUCAAUUUGUUUAACAUUUCCAUAUUUUGAUUUGCAUCUUGGGAGUUGCUUGGAAUUUGGGAUCCUCUUCUGUCUCUUGAGUUGAAAUCAGAGGCUGCUUGCCGGGCAAGGUGGCUCACGCCUGUAAUCCCAGCACUUUGGGAGGCCCAGGCAGACAGAUCACCAGAUGUCGGGAGUUAGAAACCAGCCUGGCCAACAUGGCAAAACCCCGUCUCUACUAAAAAUACAAAAAUUAGUCGGGCGUGCUGGUGCAUGCCUGUAAUCCUAGCUGCUUGGGUGCUGAGUUAGGAGAAUUGCUUGAAUCCGGGAGGUGGAGGUUGCAGUGAGCCAAGAUCGUGUCACUGCACUCCAGCCGGGGCAACAGAGCAAGACUCUGCCUCAAAAAAAAGAAAAAAGAAAUCAGAGGCUGGGCAUAGUGGCUCAUGCCUAUAAGCCCAGCACUUUGGGAGGCCAAGGCAGGUGGAUCACUUGAGGCCAGGAGUUCAAGACCAGCCUGGGCAACAUGGCAAAAGCCUAUCUCUACUAGAGAUACAAAAGAUUAGCUGGACGUGAUGGUGUGUGCCUGUAAUCCCAGCUACUCAAGAGGCUGAGGCACAAGAGAAUUGCUUGAACACAGGAGGUGGAGGUUGCAGUGAGCCAAGAUCACGCCACUGCACUCCAACCUGGGGCAACAGAGUGAGACUCUGUCUCAAAAAAAAAAAAAAGAAAUCAGAGAUAAUAUAAAUGCAGGUGUAAACUCAUACACUUAAUGGGCUAUAAGUUUUGGAACUGGCUGUGAUAAUAUAACAAAAGUAAUAAUGGGCUGUAAGUGGUAUUAAAUGUGGGAUUAACUGGAUAUUUAAUGAUACCAAGGAAUCAUUAAUUUUGUUUGGCUGUGAUGUUUUAUUAUUAGAAUGAUGUUAUGAUUAAAUUUUAUUUUUGUCUGGAUACAGUGGCUCACACCUGUAAUCCCAGUGCUUUGGGAGGCCGAGGCAGAUGGAUCACUUGAGGCCAGGAGUUCCAGACCAGCCUGGCCAACACGGCGAAACCCCAUCUCUACUAAAAAUACAAAAAAUUAGCCAGGCCUGGUGGUGCACGCUUGUAAUCCCAGGUACUUGGGAGGCUAAGGCAGGAGGAUCACUUGAACCCAGGGGAGGCUGCAGUGAGCUGAGAUCGUGCCACUGCACUCCAGCUUGGGCAACAGAGCAAGACUCCAUCUUAAAAAGAAGAAAGAAAGAACUUCUAUUUUUUAAAUGUUUUUUCCUUUCAUUGAACUCCAUUUAUAGCCUUUCCAUUCAGAGCAUAAAGAUUAAAUUUUAAAACAAGGCUUGGCACCCUGGCUUAUGCCUGUAAUCCCAGCACUUUGUGAGGCCAAGGUGGGCGGAUCACCUGAGCUCAGAAGUUUGAGUCCAGCCUGGCUAACAUGGUGAAACCCCAUCUCUAAAAGAGUACACAGUCCUAGAGCAGUGGUGUGCGCCUGUAGUCCUAGCUACCUGGGAGGCUGAACCAGGAGAAUUGCUUGAGCCUGGGAGGCAGAGGUUGCAGUGAGCCAAGAUCGCACCAUUACACUCCAGCCUGGGUGACAGAGAGAGACCCUGUGCCCCUCAAAAAAAUGUUUUUUUUAAACAAGAAUCUCUCAGGCAUACUGAAAUGUUGAAGAGGAAAUUAUAUUAAUAUCUGGGACUUGUUUCCAAAUUUGGAAUUGGGGCAGGGUGUAAAUUGUUGGCAAUAUCAAAGAAACGAGGAGUUGGAAUGAUAAUUGUAGAAGCUGCAUGAUAGAUACACAUUCUUUAUACUUCUGUAUAUGUUGAAAUUUUUUAUCAAAUUAUAAUUGUGUAUAAUGACUAAUUAUGCUUUCAUUGUCUAUUCUGUGUGGUUAUGUUACUUGCUGAAAUUAAUACAUAAAGAGUCUUCAACUUAAAUGACUUAUCAAGCAUAAAUAUUAAAAUACUGGAUGUUAC
This 13193-nucleotide long non-coding RNA is filed under the name Homo sapiens (human). Its description in RNAcentral is "HSALNT0381276". The record is from RNAcentral. Lineage: Eukaryota; Metazoa; Chordata; Mammalia; Primates; Hominidae.